Long non-coding RNA from Gorilla gorilla gorilla (western lowland gorilla), 1273 nucleotides. RefSeq lists it as uncharacterized. The record is from RefSeq and is a predicted model, not a curated record. NCBI's taxonomy places the organism in Eukaryota, Metazoa, Chordata, Mammalia, Primates, Hominidae. The transcript has 2 exons.
AGGCUAUGGCUGGAAGACUUUUUCCCCUUUGAGUCCCUGCUGCUCUCAGAGGUCUCCUGCGUGCUGGCCUCGUGGUGGGAGGAAGAGGAAGCCGAGGAGGAGACCUGAAGGAGAGGAGAGAGGAAGGUUCAACACCAGGGCGUCUAAGAAGGCUGGACCUAUGCUGGAAGUGGCGAGGCAGAGAAGAGGACCCACAGGAGAAUGGGCUUCUCUGGUGCCAUCCUGGAGCCCUCCAGCUACUACCCCAAACUUCGGCCCCCUGGCUUUCCACCCAUUCUCUGACCACCCCAUGCUCUUCCUAGACAACCUGAGAUUGCACACACUAAGCGUUUGCCAGGAGAGCCUAUCCUUACUCUUCCUGGGAAAUUUCUCAUCCUUUAAAAUCCAGCUUGGAAGUCCCUCUUCCCUGAAGCCUCCCUAAGUACCUCAGGUGGAACAAGACAUUCUGUUCCCUUAUUUCCAGAGAACUGUGCACACAUGACCACAUGUCAACAGCUGCCACUCUGCACUGAAAUGUUCUGUCCUAUCUGAGGCACCAGAAACCAAAGACAGCGGCAGGGUGGUGGUUGAAGGAGCGUGGGCUCUAAGUCGGGCAGAGCAAGGUAUGAGCCUGGUGGGCUCUGCCCUUCACCGCCAUGUUUUUGUUUUUUCUUAAUUUAUUUUUGAGAUGGAGUUUCACUCUUGUUGCACAGGCUGGAGUGCAAUGGUGCGAUCUCGGCUCACUGCAACCUUCCAUCACCUCCCAGGUUCAAGUGAUUCUCCUGCCUCAGCCUCCCAAGUAGCUGGGAUUAUAGGCACCAGCCACCACACCCGGCUAAUUUUGUGUAUUUUUAAUAGAGGCAGGGUUUCACCAUGUUGGCCAGGCUGAUCUUGAACCCCUGACCUCAGGUGAUCCACCUGCCUCGCACUCCCAAAGUGGUGGGACUACAGGCGUGAGCCACCACGCCUGGCCUCACUGCCAUGUUAUACUGUGCAAAGUCUCAACGUCGAUGAGUGUCAGUGUCUUUACAGGGAGCACUAUGCAUAUGUGGUGAGUUGGAAGCAGCAUGAUGCCAGAUACAUGGUAUAGGGUCAAUAAACGAUGAGACAUCCAGUGGCAGCAGCUGCAGAGACAGUGCUGUGGGCAGGUGAAGAGCACAAGCCUUCAAGCCAGACUGCGUUGGAAUCUCAGGUCUACCACUUUACUAGCUGUGUGCUUUUAGGCAAAUUACUUAACCUCCCUGUGCCCCAACAUCUUCAUAUAUUAAAUGGGGUUUGUAAAUUUCCAACCUAA